RNAcentral lists this long non-coding RNA (209 nucleotides) under Elaeis guineensis (African oil palm). RNAcentral's name for it is "long non-coding RNA (EGUI_LNC045716)". Lineage: Eukaryota; Viridiplantae; Streptophyta; Magnoliopsida; Arecales; Arecaceae. The record is from RNAcentral.
CCAAGGUAAAGAAGUGGGAGGAAAGUUAAGCUCAAAGAGAAUAUCUUUGAAGAGCAGCGAGCUUUGGGACCUUAAAAACCUAUUUAUCAUGAUAAGGCAGUAGACGUAUAUUCUUCCUCCAUCUCGUAUAUAUAGUAGCAUCUCCUAUCCUCUCGAAAGGUAUUUGGGUAUGCUUGACAGAGGAUGUAGGGAAAGUCAUUUCUCAUGGG